RNAcentral lists this ribosomal RNA (260 nucleotides) under Puccinia suaveolens. Its description in RNAcentral is "partial large subunit ribosomal RNA". It matches the Rfam family "Eukaryotic large subunit ribosomal RNA", at positions 11 to 266 of the family's 3401-position model. Lineage: Eukaryota; Fungi; Basidiomycota; Pucciniomycetes; Pucciniales; Pucciniaceae. The record is from RNAcentral.
UCAGGUGGGACUACCUGCUGAACUUAAGCAUAUCAAUAAGCAGAGGAAAAGAAACUAACAAGGAUUCCCCUAGUAAUGGCGAAUGAAGAGGGAAAAGCCCAAAUUUGUAAUCUGGCUCUUUCAGAGUCCGAGUUGUAAUUUUAAGAACUGUUUUCAGUGCUGGACCAUGUAUAAGUCUGUUGAAAGGCAGCAUCAUAGAAGGUGAUAAUCCUGUUCAUGAUGUGGACUACCAGUGCAAUAUGAUACAGUCUCUAAGAGUC